RNAcentral lists this ribosomal RNA (834 nucleotides) under uncultured archaeon. Its description in RNAcentral is "bacterial SSU rRNA". It matches the Rfam family "Archaeal small subunit ribosomal RNA", at positions 19 to 859 of the family's 1478-position model. The record is from RNAcentral.
GGAGGCCACUGCUAUUGGGAUCCGACUAAGCCAUGCGAGUCGAGAGGGUUCGGCCCUCGGCAGACUGCUCAGUAACACGUGGAUAAUCUACCCUUAGGUGGAGGAUACUCUCGGGAAACUGAGAAUAAUACUCCAUAGGUCUAGGAUGCUGGAAUGCACCUAGGUUGAAAGUUCCGGCGCCUAAGGACGAGUCUGCGGACUAUCAGGUAGUAGUCAGGGUAAAGACCUGACUAGCCUACGACGGAUACGGGUUGUGAGAGCAAUAGCCCGGAGACGAUAUCUGAGACACGAUAUCGGGCCCCCGGGGCGCAGCAGGCGCGAAAUCUUCACAAUGUGCGAAAGCACGAUGAGGGGAUCCCAAGUGUUGGUUCGUAAGAGUCAUCUGUUUCUUUGUCUAAAAAACAGAGAGAGUAAGAGCUGGGUAAGACGGGUGCCAGCCGCCGCGGUAAUACCUGCAGCUCAAGUGGUGGCCGCUAUUAUUGGGCCUAAAACGUCCGUAGCCGGUUUAGUAAAUGCCUGGGUAAAUUGUGUAGCUCAACUAUACGAAUACCGGGUAGACUGCUAAACUUGAAACCGGGAGAGGCUAGAGGUACUCCUAGGGUAGAGGUGAAAUUCUGUAAUCCUAGGGGGACCACCAGUGGCGAAGGCGUCUAGCUAGAACGGGUUUGACGGUGAGGGACGAAGCCCUGGGGCGCAAACCGGAUUAGAUACCCGGGUAGUCCAGGGUGUAAACGCUGCUCGCUUGAUGUUAGUCGGGCUCCGAGCCCAACUAGUGUCGGAGAGAAGUUGUUAAGCGAGCUGCCUGGGAAGUACGGUCGCAAGACUGAAACUUAA